RNAcentral lists this ribosomal RNA (540 nucleotides) under uncultured bacterium. RNAcentral describes it as "bacterial SSU rRNA". It matches the Rfam family "Bacterial small subunit ribosomal RNA", at positions 8 to 526 of the family's 1533-position model. The record is from RNAcentral.
AGAGUUUGAUCCUGGCUCAGAACGAACGCUGGCGGCGUGCUUAACACAUGCAAGUCGAACGUGAUCCAGAGCUUGCUCUGGUGAAAGUGGCGCACGGGUGAGUAACGCGUGGAUAACCUGCCCUGGUAUCUGGGAUAACAUCUCGAAAGGGGUGCUAAUACCGGAUAAGCCUACGGGGUCCUCGGACUCUGCAGGAAAAGGUGGCCUCUAUUUAUAAGCUACCGUAUCAGGAUGGGUCCGCGUACCAUUAGCUAGUUGGUGGGGUAAUGGCCCACCAAGGCGACGAUGGUUAGCUGGUCUGAGAGGAUGAUCAGCCACACUGGAACUGAGACACGGUCCAGACUCCUACGGGAGGCAGCAGUGGGGAAUUUUGCGCAAUGGGGGAAACCCUGACGCAGCAACGCCGCGUGAGUGAUGAAGGCUUUCGGGUCGUAAAGCUCUGUCAGAGGGGAAGAAAUGAGCCUGGCUAAUAUCCAGGUUUCUUGACGGUACCCUCAAAGGAAGCACCGGCUAACUCCGUGCCAGCCGCCGCGGUAAUUC